RNAcentral lists this ribosomal RNA (887 nucleotides) under uncultured bacterium. Its description in RNAcentral is "bacterial SSU rRNA". It matches the Rfam family "Bacterial small subunit ribosomal RNA", at positions 22 to 899 of the family's 1533-position model. The record is from RNAcentral. RNAcentral also lists the same sequence under 1 other name.
GCUCAGGAUGAACGCUAGCUACAGGCUUAACACAUGCAAGUCGAGGGGAAACGACAUCGAAAGCUUGCUUUUGAUGGGCGUCGACCGGCGCACGGGUGAGUAACGCGUAUCCAACCUGCCCACCACUUGGGGAUAACCUUGCGAAAGUAAGACUAAUACCCAAUGACGUCUCUAGAAGACAUCUGAAGGAGAUUAAAGAUUUAUCGGUGAUGGAUGGGGAUGCGUCUGAUUAGCUUGUUGGCGGGGUAACGGCCCACCAAGGCGACGAUCAGUAGGGGUUCUGAGAGGAAGGUCCCCCACAUUGGAACUGAGACACGGUCCAAACUCCUACGGGAGGCAGCAGUGAGGAAUAUUGGUCAAUGGACGAGAGUCUGAACCAGCCAAGUAGCGUGCAGGAUGACGGCCCUAUGGGUUGUAAACUGCUUUUAUAAGGGAAUAAAGUGAGUCUCGUGAGACUUUUUGCAUGUACCUUAUGAAUAAGGACCGGCUAAUUCCGUGCCAGCAGCCGCGGUAAUACGGAAGGUCCGGGCGUUAUCCGGAUUUAUUGGGUUUAAAGGGAGCGUAGGCCGGAGAUUAAGCGUGUUGUGAAAUGUAGACGCUCAACGUCUGCACUGCAGCGCGAACUGGUUUCCUUGAGUACGCACAAAGUGGGCGGAAUUCGUGGUGUAGCGGUGAAAUGCUUAGAUAUCACGAAGAACUCCGAUUGCGAAGGCAGCUCACUGGAGCGCAACUGACGCUGAAGCUCGAAAGUGCGGGUAUCGAACAGGAUUAGAUACCCUGGUAGUCCGCACGGUAAACGAUGGAUGCCCGCUGUUGGUCUGAAUAGGUCAGCGGCCAAGCGAAAGCAUUAAGCAUCCCACCUGGGGAGUACGCCGGCAACGGUGCAA